RNAcentral lists this ribosomal RNA (320 nucleotides) under uncultured eukaryote. RNAcentral describes it as "partial 18S ribosomal RNA". It matches the Rfam family "Eukaryotic small subunit ribosomal RNA", at positions 1470 to 1796 of the family's 1831-position model. The record is from RNAcentral.
CCCCUAGAUGUUCUGGGCCGCACGCGCGCUACACUGGACAGUUCAACAAGUCUUAACCUUGGCCGAUAGGUCUGGGUAAUCUUUGAACGCUGUUCGUGAUUGGGAUAGACCUUUGCAAUUAUGGGUCUUCAACGAGGAAUUCCUAGUAAACGCAAGUCAUCAGCUUGCAUUGAUUACGUCCCUGCCCUUUGUACACACCGCCCGUCGCACCUACCGAUUGAAUGGUCCGGUGAAAUCUCGGGACGGCGGCUUGGUCGCUUGCGUCCGACUGCUGAAACUUGAUUAAACCAUAUCAUUUAGAGGAAGGUGAAGUCGUAACA